Molecule: long non-coding RNA, 3747 nt
Filed under: Toxoplasma gondii VEG
Lineage: Eukaryota; Apicomplexa; Conoidasida; Eucoccidiorida; Sarcocystidae
Source: RNAcentral
GCAUCUUGUGGUUUCCCGCUCCUUCUUGCACCUCCUUCUCCACCUUGGGCUCAAUGGAGGCAUCGUCUUGCUUCAAGGUUAGAGGCAGGCUCCGUGCUGAUGACGCCGGUUCGGAUCCUUCUUCUUGGAAGGUGCACUUUCCUUUGUCACGCGAUGAUGCACACUCAGCAUCCUCCAAAUAGGCUGCGCGAUCUGAGCCGUGCAAGGAAAUUUCACUUUCGUCUUUGUUUUCUUCAUCCGAGGUUUUGACCCACCGGGAAGCGUCAGAUGGUCGGUGCCUUUCACUAUGAGACAGCUCAGUGUGCUGUUCCCCUCCAGUGGUUGCCAAAUGCUCACCGUUCCAGCGAUACGGGUUCACCGAUUGUCCAAUAUGCCCGUGAUCUGCACUGUGAAUAACUGUGGAUAGAUGGCUGUGGGGCGUCGUUUCGGUAAAUCCAUCGGAUUCAGAAUUGCAAAGACUGUGUCUUAUUUCUCGAUGUUUUUUUUCCACUCGGGCGUCUGUGAUACGAGUGGCUCUACACCCGUUUAUCGCCCGACAUCCUUCCACCUCGCGGUCACUCUUAUAGACUGUUGAAGCGGCAAAGGUGCUGUCUGCUUGGGAACUUACUUUUUCACAGCCGGGGUGCAUUUUGCCUUGCGCCGCUGUGUGAAAGCCAUUGGUAGAGUUCUCCAUGUUCUUAACCUCGGGUAUUGCAUGUGCUUCAUCUGUACUUCUGAUCACUUGUGCGUCCACUUCAUGUUUCUUGUCCUCGCUAUUCUUGUGGCCACUUUCAUCAAUGUCAAAAGGGACCGUGCUUGUAGGAUAUCCACUCUCACGAGGCGGUACGACGAGGGGAACACAUCUGCUUUCCAUGUCGCUAAAAUUGUUUAAUGCCGGACAGAAAUCUACGGACUCGGUUGAGUCAGCAACUGCAUUGUUUACAGAAAGUCCUUCUCUGCCACAAAUAGCUUUCCUGUAGUGGCGUGCAUUCAUGUAGGUUGAGCAUCUGUUGCUCACACAAGAUAUGCUAGGUUCGAUCUUUUCCUCGGUAAUAAUGGAGUCAACCAGGCACGGUUUUUGUGUGUCGUGGUCUGAAUUUGUGUCACACGCUAUGCAAUGUUGGCUUGCAUUGGACGGUGCAGCAGCGUGCUUCCACGAAUCUGGCUGGUGUUCCUCGCGCAGGGUUUCGCAAAGAGAACUCUCGCUUCCCAAACGGCCUUCGUCUCCGGUGGAUUUAUCCGCCUUUCUCGUUCGUUGCCUAGAACACUUUGUUCCUUCUGUGUCCACGACCACAGUACAUAAGUCGGAUUGUAAUUGUAAGGAGUCUUCUGUGAGAAAGCGUUCACCCGCUGUUCCCCCGACGCCGUUUGUUCCGUGGUGCUUACCACGUCUCUUAUCUUUGUCAACCCCUAGCUGUUCAUGAACAGCAGGUUCAGACGCAUGCAUGAAAUUUCCAAACUGCAAGUCGCCUGGAGGUAACUUUGGCAGAAGCAGGCCCGUUUCGUCUAAACUAGCGGCCAGGUCAUGCUGUGGACUAUUCACGUUUGCUCCAGAAUUACUCUUUGACGUUGGAGCGUGAUUCCGGCAGUCAAGUCUUGCAAUCUGCGCUGCCUCCAUCCCUAUAAACAAAGCAACAUGUUCCAGCAUCCCCUUCUUGGUGUGGUUCCCCCAAAGACUUCGUCCGUUCGCUGCUGAUCCCAUCCACGCAACAGGCAGCGGCAAGCAGAGUCCCUCCCGUCGCCGUCGUCUGCGAUGCAACUGGAGGACAAGGCGCCGCCGCCCUUUGUGUAUGUGCCGUCGUCGAUUCCGUUUGUUCCACUUGCGUCUUAUUUCUAGACCCUGUCGUAGCAAAUCCCUCGUUCUCCGCCUUCUCGGUCACGUCUCUGCACACGAGGUUUGAAGCGCAAGAGGCGGCUUCACGUGAUGGUGAUGAUCUUGACGGUUCAUCCCUUGCAGCCGAUUGUCCUAUUCUCGUCUUUCGGGUCUUUGUUUGUAUCGUAUCAGUGUCUGCGCGACUCGUGCAGUGGAUAGAGGUCCUGAAAAUUCCAAGACGCACCACUCUGCUCUCACAAGGUGUCCUCAGUUCUAGGUCAGUCCCUGGCGUUGGUACUGACCCCGUUUCGUCAUCCACAACGGAUGCCCUGAGAAAGGCCUCCUGGCACCGAUCUCGCUCUGCACGCCAGGCAGUCUCUUCAUCUCCUUUCGCCUGUUUAUUUGCCUCGGUUUCUUGAAUGCCAAGAAAAUCGGAAUCUGACGACACCAGCCUGCGUACCCCGAGUGCAGUCUCGUUCUCACUCGACCACUCAGGUAUUUCCCCGACUUCGUCUCCUUGACGUGUCUUCUGCUCUCCUCUCGACGUGGUGUAUUCUGGCGAAGGGCUGUGAGAAGGCUUUCCCGGACACUGCGCAUCCUGAAGAGUUUCUUCUUUCGGAUUCGCCAUAAUUGUUCUCUCUCUGCCUUCACGGCUGCACUAUUCCACGCAGUUGAGGGGCUUGAUUCAGCCGUCUUGGCCUGGCCCUCACCAGGCACGGUCUGCGAAGUCUCGUGAGGCUGGGCGCUCUGGUCUCUUCUGCUGGUUUCUUCUUGUCUCAGCACUCCCAGAGCACCGGACUUUGUGCCGUCGGCUGGUCCAGGGUGGUCGAGGCGGCGAUUCUCUUCAACUGCUACGUCGGGCGAAGAAGCGGAAAACACAGCAGGCGAGGGUCCAGGGAGAAAAGAAGAUGAAAACGUAGGCCGCGGCACGCAUGGAAAGGACCGCGAAUCGGUUGACGAGAAGAUAAAACUUUGUUUGGGUUUUCCUUCGUCGCCUGUCUCUCUGGCGACAUAACGAGAUACACGACAGUCAGGGAUGCAAGGGGCGAGGCUUGGGGGUGCUGGCACAUGCGCCUCGGUUUGGGGGAGUGAGUGACAAGCGCGGGACGGUCUCUGCAGCUGCUGCCUGCUGAGUUUCCUUUUCUGUUCGAAGAGAGAGAAGGGAAGGGUGUUUGUUUCUCUUCCGCGCUUCCGUUUAUAGAGCGACGAAGAAAACGUGAGAUAUGCAGAUGGUAGGCUCAAGCAGAAGGGCAGGAGCGAAGGAGGAAUAACGUGGGGUGCGACCUGCAAAGGGAUGGAGAAGUUUGGAGGAACAACGGGAGGCGAGGUUCAAGCAGAAACGCGAAGCCAGGCAGAAUAAAACUCGGCUCCAACUCUUUGCAAAGGGGGCUCGGAAACUGGGUUACGCGAACGAUUCAGAGGAGCCGCAUGCACCCUGCAAAACUUGUGAACUCAGGCACGAGGACGAAGAGCAGGAGGCGCCGUUUUCUAAAGGCCCCCUCCAUGGGGUAGAGAGAGAAACGGAGAGAGCGACAGAGUGAACUACGGAGAGCACAGACGCGCCGGAAGCUACGUUUCUGGAGAGCGUUUCAUGUACAGAAAGGCGAGGGACUGGUUCAGCCCGAGCGAGUGAGCAACAUGCGCGGAAACUACGACGCGAACAAGGACCGCGUGAGUACCAGUCAGAGCAGGUCGAAAACUGAAAGUGAAGAGACGACUGAGACAAGACAAAGGAGGCGACUAGAGCCUGAAAGAUUGUCAACAUGCUCUUGUAGUACAGAUCUGAGACAUCCGCGCACUCGUAGAAAGCGACAUGUCAAAACUGAGAGAACGUCCUGCCUGGGGGAGGCGCCAGCGCUUCUGGAACAUACCUCUCUGGCGAUGCCCAGCCAGAAGGCCUGAACCGCAGAAGAAAGGAGAUUGCUUGCAGGAUGGAAGACGUCUUCUUCCGACAG